This 465-nucleotide ribosomal RNA is filed under the name uncultured bacterium. RNAcentral describes it as "partial 16S ribosomal RNA". It matches the Rfam family "Bacterial small subunit ribosomal RNA", at positions 338 to 795 of the family's 1533-position model. The record is from RNAcentral.
CCUACGGGAGGCAGCAGUGGGGAAUAUUGCGCAAUGGGCGAAAGCCUGACGCAGCGACGCCGCGUGAGGGAUGAAGGUCUUCGGAUCGUAAACCUCUGUCAGCAGGGAAGAAAGGUCACUGUGCUAAUCAGCAGUGAAUUGACGGUACCUGCAAAGGAAGCACCGGCUAACUCCGCGCCAGCAGCGGAGGUAAUACGGAGGGUGCGAGCGUUAAUCGGAAUUGAUGGGCGUAAAGGGCUCGUAGGCGGUAUGUCAAGGCAAGGGUGAAAUCCCCGCGCUCAAGGUGGGAACUGGCUGUGAAACUGGCAAACUGGAGUGUGUGAGAGGAUAGUGGAAUGCCAGGUGUAGGAGUGAAAUCCGUAGAGAUCUGGAGGAACAUCAGUGGCGAAGGCGACUAUCUGGCACAUAACUGACGCUGAGGAGCGAAAGCGUGGGUAGCAAACAGGAUUAGAUACCCUAGUAGUC